AAAAAUUUAUUAUAAUAUAAAUUAAUUUUUUAUUAAAAAUUUUUUAAAUUUUUA
RNAcentral lists this transfer RNA (54 nucleotides) under Rhynchophorus ferrugineus (red palm weevil). RNAcentral's name for it is "tRNA-Ile". Lineage: Eukaryota; Metazoa; Arthropoda; Insecta; Coleoptera; Curculionidae. The record is from RNAcentral.